RNA transcript from Abrus precatorius (Indian licorice), 1101 nucleotides. RefSeq lists it as uncharacterized. The record is from RefSeq and is a predicted model, not a curated record. Lineage: Eukaryota; Viridiplantae; Streptophyta; Magnoliopsida; Fabales; Fabaceae. The transcript is spliced from 4 exons.
UCGUUCCCAAUUCCAAGUCCCAACCAAACCUCUUUUAUUCUCUCUUUCUCUCUCUCUCUCUCUCCCAUUCACAAGCAACCAAACCAACCUCAUCUAUCUCUCUCGGCAAGGGUUAAUCCUCCUGAUUAUGGCUGGGUUUCUAGCGAAGGCAAAGAGGCUAUACCCCAAAACCUUCGCAAUCCCAUCGAUGAGUGUUUCCAUUCGCCACCGAUCGACCAAGCCCGAACCGCAACUUGUGCAGGUCGACAUGGCAGAGUACGAUGUGACGCUCAAGCUCUUCGAUGACCUUAUUCAUCGUAUUCUCGUCAAGAAGGCUACCCCUGAUUGGCUCCCCUUCGUUCCUGGUUCCUCCUUCUGGGUCCCACCUCGUCCUUCUCCCUCCAAAUUUGUCGACCUCGUACAUAAACUCACCAAUGACGCCGAACACUCUCUUUCCCAAGAGGAAUCGCUCUUCCUCGCCACCCUCCGCGGAUGGCCCUCCUCCAAUUUCUACAUCCAAGAUAAUGCAAAUACUCAUGGUGGGGAUACUGAUGUGGAGGUAAAUAGCCCAGAAGGGAUGGAGGGGACGGUGAAAGUGAAGGUUCUAACAUUUUCAGAAAAUGUAGCUCACUCAGAAGAUGAGGAAGGAUGAUCCACAAUUUAGCUAUGCCAGUUGCUGCGAUACUCUUCAAAGGAAACAAAAUACCAAUAAUCAAUGAUGCAAAAGUCUGAAUAUCUUAAGGAUAUUCAUGGUGCAACGCGAGCUCAUUGAAGAGUCCACAAAAAGCAAGGUUAGAAAAAUGGGCUCUCUAGAGAUUGAGAAGGACAAAUGCUAAAUGGAAAUUCCUGUAGAUGCAGAACUGGUGAUAGUUUUGGGAUUAAUCCUCUCUCACUCUACAUGACCCAACAUGGAUCUGUUUAUCCAGUGUAUGCAGAACUGCUGAUUAUCUGUUUAUCCAAUGUAUAUAUUUGUCCAACUAAUAAAGCAGAAACUUUUAUAAUAUUCCUCUAAACAAACUAACACUUGUUCAAUUUAGGGCGCAUAUUAUAUUCAUGUAUAUAUAACUGUAAUAGACUUCAUUGGGUGUUAAGCUUCAUUUAAGUUACAAACUAGCUUGAGUU